This 207-nucleotide ribosomal RNA is filed under the name uncultured Eubacteriales bacterium. RNAcentral describes it as "uncultured Clostridiales bacterium partial 16S ribosomal RNA". It matches the Rfam family "Bacterial small subunit ribosomal RNA", at positions 568 to 775 of the family's 1533-position model. Lineage: Bacteria; Bacillati; Bacillota; Clostridia; Eubacteriales. The record is from RNAcentral.
UGAGUAGGCGGUUAUGUAUGUCAGAUGUAAAAGGCACAGGCUUAACUUGUGUUAGCAUUUGAAACUGCAUAACUUGAGUGCAGGAGAGGUAAGUGGAAUUCCUAGUGUAGCGGUGAAAUGCGUAGAUAUUAGGAGGAACACCAGUGGCGAAGGCGACUUACUGGACUGUAACUGACGCUGAGUCACGAAAGCGUGGGUAGCAAACAG